CUCCCCCAGCCAGGGUUUACGGAAAGCAGCAGGCAAUCAGAGCUCGCGACGUGCCGACUCCCGCGUCCACCUUCUCCACCCCUGGCCUCGGCUGCGCGCCCAAGCGUCACUCCUCAGGGAAACCGUGGUAGCCAACAAGCUUGGAGCUGCUGGAGUUUCCAAAGACCUCUGGAUCCUGUAGUCCUCCACGCUAGCCUCCAAAGAGCGCUGCUGACCCGGCUCGCUCCGCAGUGCAAGACCUGAACUGUUGGGAACAAAACCCUCCCUGAAAGAGAGCUAAGUGAUUGAAAACCAUUCCCCUGGGCACCUGGCAGAAAGAAAGAAAGAAAGAAAGAAAGAAAGAAAGAAAGAAAGAAAGAAAGAA
This is a long non-coding RNA of Leopardus geoffroyi (Geoffroy's cat), 364 nucleotides long. RefSeq lists it as uncharacterized. The record is from RefSeq and is a predicted model, not a curated record. The transcript has 3 exons. NCBI's taxonomy places the organism in Eukaryota, Metazoa, Chordata, Mammalia, Carnivora, Felidae.